This 314-nucleotide transfer-messenger RNA is filed under the name Alphaproteobacteria bacterium. It matches the Rfam family "Alphaproteobacteria transfer-messenger RNA". Rfam says of the family: Bacterial tmRNA, also known as 10Sa RNA or SsrA, is named for its dual tRNA and mRNA-like properties. The record is from RNAcentral. Lineage: Bacteria; Pseudomonadati; Pseudomonadota; Alphaproteobacteria.
GACCUUCAAUUCUUAACCCACAGCGCCUAUAUUAUCGAGGCCGGGCAACCGGCUAUGGCGAUAAACGGCUUCGUAAUAAGCGGCCCGGACCCGGGGGCGGUACCCGGCGCCUCCACCAAAAGCACUCCCGCUCAGGAGUGUUUCUGUGGGGGCGAAACAGGAUCGACGGACGUGUAAAGGCUGUCCUUUCGCUCGGUAUGGUAUCCGCCGUUAUCGGGCUAAUCGUACAGGUGCCAACGACAACGAAAUGGCCCUCGCUGCCUAAUUAGGUAAGCGCGGUUCAGGGGGGCACCGGGCAACAGAAGCCCCCCACU